UACGGAGGGUGCGAGCGUUGUUCAGAAUUAUUGGGCGUAAAGCGCGUGUAGGCGGUUUAUUAAGUCUGAUGUGAAAGCCCCGGGCUCAACCUGGGAAGUGCAUUGGAUACUGGUAGACUUGAGUACGGGAGAGGGCAGUGGAAUUUCUAGUGUAGGAGUGAAAUCCGUAGAUAUUAGGAGGAACACCGGUGGCGAAGGCGGCUGCCUGGACCGAUACUGACGCUGAGACGCGAAAGCGUGGGGAGCAAAC
Molecule: ribosomal RNA, 250 nt
Filed under: uncultured bacterium
Lineage: Bacteria
Description: partial 16S ribosomal RNA
Rfam family: Bacterial small subunit ribosomal RNA
Source: RNAcentral